UGAGGGAUAUUGGGCAAUGGGGGAAACCCUGACCCAGCGACGCCGCGUGAGGGAAGCCGGUCUUCGGAUUGUAAACCUCUUCAGCAUCGAAGAAGCGAAAGUGACGGUAGGUGCAGAAGAAGCGCCGGCUAACUACGUGCCAGCAGCCGCGGUAAUACGUAGGGCGCGAGCGUUGUCCGGAAUUAUUGGGCGUAAAGAGCUUGUAGGCGGUUUGUCGCGUCUGCUGUGAAAGCCCGGGGCCUAACCCCGGGCUUUGCAGUGGGUACGGGCUAACUAGAGUGCAGUAGGGGAGACUGGAAUUCCUGGUGUAGCGGUGGAAUGCGCAGAUAUCAGGAGGAACACCGAUGGCGAAGGCAGGUCUCUGGGCUGUAACUGACGCUGAGAAGCGAAAGCAUGGGGAGCAAACAGGAUUAGAUACC
This 419-nucleotide ribosomal RNA is filed under the name uncultured bacterium. Its description in RNAcentral is "bacterial SSU rRNA". It matches the Rfam family "Bacterial small subunit ribosomal RNA", at positions 355 to 786 of the family's 1533-position model. The record is from RNAcentral.